This is a long non-coding RNA of Polyodon spathula (Mississippi paddlefish), 2274 nucleotides long. RefSeq lists it as uncharacterized. NCBI's taxonomy places the organism in Eukaryota, Metazoa, Chordata, Actinopteri, Acipenseriformes, Polyodontidae. The record is from RefSeq and is a predicted model, not a curated record. The transcript has 3 exons.
GUAGCUUUUAAAUUAAAAAAAAAUUAUUAUGUAUCCUUCCACUGAGAAAAAGUAGUCCUGAGGACUGUUUCAUUUCGAUAUAUUUUUUUACUUUUUUUUUUAUUUGCCAAAAACGUUAAAUUGAUCAUUUCCAUUUAUUGUAAAAUGUUCUAGAUGAAAUGGCAUUUUUGAAUUGAAGGCAAACUGAUUUCCUGCAUCAGAGGGAGGAUUCACGGAACAGCCAGCCACUGCACUAUCUCUUGGGGCCAAUGUCGAGGGAAGAGCUUCUGAACAUGAGGCCGUGGAUGGAGGAGCCAUAUGGUUUUCAAGAGAAGCUGACCAAUAAUUCGGAGGUUGCUUUCAAUACCGAUGAACGGUAACCGACAUCAUUUCUCUGGACUGUAAACCUGCAUUAGACAACAAGUGGACAGCAGUGCUGCAGAUUGAGUGGAUUGCAUAACAUAUUGAAAGUCCAACUUGAUCUGAAAUGGGAGACAUCAUGUUUCCAAGUUUCUCAUCAUCAAUCUGAGACUAAAGCAGUGAGAUUCUUGAAAUGGAUUUUGGGAACAGGGAUUACUUCUUGAAAGAGGACCAGAAGAACAAAGAUGGCCACUUGGCAUCAGCAUGGAAAAGACCAGCCUGUGAGUGAGGGCAGGAUUACAGGGUUGACCCCUCAGGCUCACCCACUCAGAGAAGAAAACGCUCCACACAAACAAAACAGGUGGCAGAUAUCAACAACUUCUGAGCUGUUCUUAUCAUUAUGGGCUCUCUGCUGAUUUGUUGAUUUUUGAUGUUUUUAACAGAAAUUGUAUUUUGCUGUAUGAAUGGUCUAUUAAGCUACCUUCAUUAUUUGUUUUUAAUGUUCUCAAUAAUAUGCAGCAUUGAAACAACAAGCGGAAAGUAUCUAUCGAAAGUCUCACAUGAUAGUACAGUACAACCAUUUUUAUUUAUAAAUACCCUGUGAGAAUUCAACUUAGUUUCUUCACAAACAUUGAUGGAAUUUCACGGAUGUCCCACUACUCACCUAGAUCACUCCUGAGCUUGAGUAUUCGUUCAAGAGCAGAUGGAGAUAUUGGGGAGUUAGGAAAUGAAAAGACAUUGAAGACAACUGAUAGAUAUAUUUUGAAGAAGACACCUGAUACAUAUAUUUUGUCUGUUGGACUGAGUUUUAUGAGGUAUUUUUUGUUGGGUUUUUUGUUUUUUUUUUAGAUCGACAAUAAAAAAUAUUUUGUUGAUGUAUAAACUGCAAUCUAAUUUUUCAUACUUAAUUGUAACUAUACAGAACACCACUUAACAAUUCUAGUCUUCACAAAAUAUAUUGACAUUUUUGCCCAAAAAUGAAAACAACUGUUCAAAUAAAAAUGUUAAAUAAACUUGCAAAAACAGAUAUUUCAUUAAUACCAAAAAGACCACUACUUAAACUACAAUACCUGAUGAUCAAAAUAGAUAGUUGACAAAGCUUUGGUCAAUUAAUGUUCACCUCUUCUUUUACUUAAAUGAAUACUUAAUACAAUCGUUCAGUAUAUUUUAUUUUGUGUACAUGUAAUCCUAGUAUUCUCCAAUGUUACUUUGUUUCUACUUUGAUCAUAAUUUACCAGUCUAACUAAUUCCCUUUUUCAAUCAUGGGACUUGUGAAAAGACUCCUAAAAGCUGAAUUUCUGGAGCUGGGUAGUUUUAUGAUCACUAGGGGUGUGUAACAAAUAUGUGCCCUCCUGCAGCUGUGAGAUAGUAAAUGGAAAAUACCUGUGCAAAACCAGCUCACUUUAAAGAGUUCUUAGAAGUCUAUUGAGAAGCAGGCCCAAUUGUGAAAAAGGAUAUUUUCACCAGAAUAGUUAGUAAGCCUGGUAAAUGGUGAUCUAAGCUAAAAUAACAAUAGAGAAUGACAUCUACAUACAUAAGAAAUUAAAUAUUAUGAAAAUGUAAAUGAUAUCCUUUCAAGUAUUUUUUCGAAUGCCUGUAUAAGGUAACUAUUGACUGUAAUGUUUAUAUAAUCCAAUUGCUUUCUAUUUUUAUAAAGUAACUAUCUGAAUCAUCUGUUUUGCUUGAUUAAAGACUUUGUUUCAGUAUGUUUUUUCACCCCCCCUCCCCCCAAGUACAGUUUUAGGUUUAAAAACAUAUUUUUCUUCUUGUUCUUAAUUAUGUGGGGUGGGGAUUGUAAAUAAAAUGCUAGAACAAAAAGUCAGGUUAUAAGGAAUAAACUAACUUUCUAAAGUGCAAUUGGGGGAGCUAGCAUGAAAGUGAUCUCUAUGGGCAGCCAAUGUUAUUUUAAGAAACAGCUCGAAGAAAUGCUUCUUU